This 501-nucleotide ribosomal RNA is filed under the name uncultured Glomeromycotina. Its description in RNAcentral is "partial small subunit ribosomal RNA". It matches the Rfam family "Eukaryotic small subunit ribosomal RNA", at positions 591 to 1092 of the family's 1831-position model. Lineage: Eukaryota; Fungi; Glomeromycota. The record is from RNAcentral.
CCAAUAGCGUAUAUUAAAGUUGUUGCAGUUAAAAAGCUCGUAGUUGAAUUUCGGGGUCAGUAGGUUGGUCAUGCCUCCGGUAUGCACUGGUCUCACUGAUUCCUCCUUCCUGAUGAGCCGUAAUGCCAUUAAUUUGGUGUUGCGGGGAAUCUGGACUGUUACUUUGAAAAAAUUAGAGUGUUUAAAGCAAGCUAACGCUUGAAUACAUUAGCAUGGAAUAAUGGAAUAGGACGUUCGAUCCUAUUUUGUUGGUUUCUAGGAUUGACGUAAUGAUUAAUAGGGAUAGUUGGGGGCAUUAGUAUUCAAUUGUCAGAGGUGAAAUUCUUGGAUUUAUUGAAGACUAACUACUGCGAAAGCAUUUGCCAAGGAUGUUUUCAUUAAUCAAGAACGAAAGUUAGGGGAUCGAAGACGAUCAGAUACCGUCGUAGUCUUAACCAUAAACUAUGCCGACUAGGGAUCGGAUGAUGUUAAUUUUUCUAAUGACUCAUUCGGCGCCUUACG